Daphnia carinata is the source of this 1105-nucleotide long non-coding RNA. RefSeq lists it as uncharacterized. The record is from RefSeq and is a predicted model, not a curated record. The transcript is spliced from 6 exons. NCBI's taxonomy places the organism in Eukaryota, Metazoa, Arthropoda, Branchiopoda, Diplostraca, Daphniidae.
AUUUAGUACAAUUAGGCAACGUCUACUUAGAAAAAAGGGGAGAAAAGAAAAGUGUAACCGUCUGACUCGUUCGUCAAAUGGACGGAGCACGAGAAAUGUAGAAUUCGCCAUGUUGGUGGGGUACUCUAAAGAUGUAUUGAUGCGUACUAAUUACUGCACAACGUGUCCAGUUUUCGAAAGUACGAACGGUGUCGAAAGUUGUAAAACAUUGUUUUUUUCAAUACAGCUUUGAAUAUUUGGAUGUAUGGUAGUGGCCACGUAUCAUGUCUUGGAUGUAUGGAAUGUUUCACAUUAAUUCUCAUGCAGCUUCUACAGAGUGUGGUAAUUUAUUUACAAAUGGUAACCAUGGUUGGGUAUGAGGUCAGGUUUUCUUGUAUGAAUGCCAUUCCCUAUCUGUACUUCUAUUUUUGACAGGUGACGGUUUUGUGGUGUUAGUUGGUUUGAGAGAGAUUGCUGGAGGUCACCUCCCCCAUUUGAUUUCUCCAGUUGUUGUUACUGGUGUUCCGAAGGUUCAAGUUAUUCUAGACCAGAAUUUCUGCCAGCCAGACAUGUUUGUCGGUUUUGCCUUGGCAUUUUAGCUGUGCAGUGGGAAAACAUGGCCAACCCCCAUGCGGGGUGUAUGUGGUUUUGUAGUGAGUCCACCUAAAGGAAUGGACUACCUCCCUAUAGAAGGUUGAAUCGGAGAUGACAGAUAUAGGAAAGCACUCACCACAGUCACUUUAAAGUUUGGCGUAACCAGGCCGGCCGCUAGCAGUCAAAUGCGGUGGGUGACGUUUAAGAGUGUGAUUACAUGGAAUGCAAGUUUCACACGUCGGAGGGAGACGGGUAAGAAGACUCACCGGCAUAUUGACAAUCAGAAUCUCUGUCACACUAAGUCAUUGAAUCAACAACAAACAAUUAGAGAAUCGAGCAAGAAAAAAAAAGCGCCAGUAAAUGAUAACUAAUCUUCAUGGAUUUGUUCUCCAUUGUCAUGGCAACUGGUAUAAAAAAAAAAGAAGUGGAAACCGCUGUUUCACCAUCGUUCUACACGGUUAGGAUGUACUGAAAGAUUAGAACCGUAUCACCUGGGAGGUAAAGAUCAACAUUAGAUUAAAGAUUUAAUUAG